GAAAACAAAUGCAAUUUGCGGUUAUAUUAAAAAUCCACUAAGCGAAACCAGAAGAUAGAAAAAAAGAAUUGGAAAAAAAAAAAUCUUUUUAUCUAAAAGACUUGCUCUAACCAUGGUCUAUGAUGUCUGGUUUUGUACACAAAAAGGGAGAAAGGAUCACUGGUCAAGGAAAACUCCCACUAUAUCCCUUACCUUGUGAGCUCGAUCUCACUGUAAUAAUAUAUAUCUCUUUAGCACGUUCGAUACUUGUGUUAGUUAGCAGUGGGAGCAGUUUUUUGUGGAGAUAAGAGUUAUUUAAGACGAUAGAAAAGAAUCAAAGUUUUGAAACGGCAACUUUGGCUACUUCUGUUAAUCUUAAGAAUCUGGA
RNAcentral lists this unclassified non-coding RNA (367 nucleotides) under Hevea brasiliensis (rubber tree). The record is from RNAcentral. Lineage: Eukaryota; Viridiplantae; Streptophyta; Magnoliopsida; Malpighiales; Euphorbiaceae.